Molecule: long non-coding RNA, 783 nt
Organism: Cyprinus carpio carpio
Lineage: Eukaryota; Metazoa; Chordata; Actinopteri; Cypriniformes; Cyprinidae
Source: Ensembl
GUGUGCUAUUAUGUAGAAUUCACUGUCAACACUGCUUUAGAUGAGUGUAAGUCAUGUAAACAAACAAAUCUACAUACAGUAACUAAACACUAGUUAUCUAUUUUAUUUGUCCAUUUGCAAUAUUGAUAAUUUUAGGAACAUUUGUGUUGGAUAAAAAGCGAGUUACAUCAGUUACUAACUCAACAUGCAGAUGCAGUAUAUCACAGAUAAAUCACAGAGGUUACUUGACUCUUGUCUGGACGUUACAGGAACAGAUUAUGUUUAUCUGCUGUAGAGUGACUGAUGAAGGAAUGCUGCCAUCAAAGCAUUUGUAUCUUCUGUGGUGGAGCAGGACCUGCAAGGAAAGGGGAAAAAAAGGAAAAACCUGAAACAAAAGAAUAAAGUAGUGGUGCUCAUGGAGAUUAGCACACGAUUGUUUGGAGCAGACACAGCAGCAGUCAGAUUGUCCUGCAUGUGUUCUUCUGCUCUCGCUUCAAGGUAGUGUGGUUCAGAGAGCCGUCAUCAAGGUCUUCCUCAUCCUGUUGCUCAACGACAUCCCCGUUGAGAAGAGUGAGAUUGUGAAGCACAGCGCAGCAGCAGAACUGUCUCAGCUGUGUUGAGAUGAUAGUAAGAUGUGGGGUUCACCGUCUGUAAAUACAUGAUUGUUAGAACAGUUAGUUUGAAAGAAGCUUUGUUUCAUGUGUUGUUGACUUGUACAUGUCUGUAUUUAUUGUGAUGCUAACAUUUAUACAUUCUUUUAAUCAUUUAGACAUGUUUCUUGUUGUCAGUAAAUAAAAUAUAAAU